AAUUGACAUUAUGAUGAUGAUGAUGAUGAUCAUCAUCAUCAUCAUCAUCAUCAUUCAAG
RNAcentral lists this microRNA precursor (59 nucleotides) under Puccinia sorghi. RNAcentral describes it as "mir-598". Lineage: Eukaryota; Fungi; Basidiomycota; Pucciniomycetes; Pucciniales; Pucciniaceae. The record is from RNAcentral.